This 73-nucleotide transfer RNA is filed under the name Apilactobacillus apisilvae. Its description in RNAcentral is "Apilactobacillus sp. SG5_A10 tRNA-Asn". It matches the Rfam family "tRNA". Rfam says of the family: Transfer RNA (tRNA) molecules are approximately 80 nucleotides in length. Their secondary structure includes four short double-helical elements and three loops (D, anti-codon, and T loops). Further hydrogen bonds mediate the characteristic L-shaped molecular structure. tRNAs have two regions of fundamental functional importance: the anti-codon, which is responsible for specific mRNA codon recognition, and the 3' end, to which the tRNAs corresponding amino acid is attached (by aminoacyl-tRNA synthetases). tRNAs cope with the degeneracy of the genetic code in two manners: having more than one tRNA (with a specific anti-codon) for a particular amino acid; and 'wobble' base-pairing, i.e. permitting non-standard base-pairing at the 3rd anti-codon position. Lineage: Bacteria; Bacillati; Bacillota; Bacilli; Lactobacillales; Lactobacillaceae. The record is from RNAcentral.
UGGGACAUAGCUCAGUUGGUAGAGCGCCUGACUGUUAAUCAGGUUGUCGACAGUUCGAGUCUGUCUGUCCCAG